This 253-nucleotide ribosomal RNA is filed under the name uncultured bacterium. RNAcentral's name for it is "partial 16S ribosomal RNA". It matches the Rfam family "Bacterial small subunit ribosomal RNA", at positions 524 to 776 of the family's 1533-position model. The record is from RNAcentral.
UACGUAGGGUGCGAGCGUUAAUCGGAAUUACUGGGCGUAAAGCGUGCGCAGGCGGCUUUGCAAGACAGAUGUGAAAUCCCCGGGCUCAACCUGGGAACUGCAUUUGUGACUGCAAGGCUGGAGUGCGGCAGAGGGGGAUGGAAUUCCGCGUGUAGCAGUGAAAUGCGUAGAUAUGCGGAGGAACACCGAUGGCGAAGGCAAUCCCCUGGACCUGUACUGACGCUCAUGCACGAAAGCGUGGGGAGCAAACAGG